Molecule: ribosomal RNA, 403 nt
Filed under: uncultured bacterium
Lineage: Bacteria
Description: partial 16S ribosomal RNA
Rfam family: Bacterial small subunit ribosomal RNA
Source: RNAcentral
GACGAACGCUGGCGGCGUGCCUAAUACAUGCAAGUCGAACGCAGUGGGGACGGGUGAGUAACACGUGGGUAACCUCCCAUCAGAGGGGAUAACACUUGGAAACAGGUGCUAAACCGGUAUUGAUGGAUGGACCCGCGGUGCAUUAGCUAGUUGGUGAGGUAACGGCUCACCAGGGCCACGAUGCAGAGCGGGCCUGGGAGGGUGAUCAGCCACACUGGAACUGAGACACGGCCCAGACUCCUACGAGAGGCAGCAGUAGGGAAUCUUCGGCAAUGGACGAAAGGCUGACCGAGCAACGCCGCGUGAGUGAAGAAGGUGUUCGGAUCGUAAAACUCUGUUGUUAGAGAAGCGGUAUCUAACCAGAAAGCCACGGCUAACUACGUGCCAGCAGCCGCGGUAAUUC